AGCGAACGCUGGCGGCAGGCCUAACACAUGCAAGUCGAACGAACCUGCCGGGGUUAGUGGCGGACGGGUGAGUAACACGUGGGAACGUGCCCUUAGGUUCGGUAUCAUUCAGGGAAACUUGUCCUAAUACCGAAUGUGCCCUUCGGGGGUAAGAUUUAUCGCCUUUAGAGCGGCCCGCGUCUGAUUAGCUAGUUGGUUGAGGUAAUGGCUCAGCAAGGCGACGAUGAGUAGCUGGUCUGAUAGGAUGAUCAGCCACAUUGGGACUGAGACACGGCCCAAACUCCUAGGGGAGGGUGCAGUCUCGACCCCUGCGGGAUGCACCAUACCCCGACGCCGCCGUGCGGGGGGCAUGCCCAAAGGGUUUGCACUGCGAAAUCGUUUCUCCGGCGCCGCUACUGACGGUAGUGGGAGAAGAAGCCCCGGCUCACUUCGUG
Molecule: ribosomal RNA, 434 nt
Filed under: uncultured bacterium
Lineage: Bacteria
Description: partial 16S ribosomal RNA
Rfam family: Bacterial small subunit ribosomal RNA
Source: RNAcentral